RNAcentral lists this ribosomal RNA (104 nucleotides) under uncultured bacterium. RNAcentral's name for it is "partial 16S ribosomal RNA". It matches the Rfam family "Bacterial small subunit ribosomal RNA", at positions 388 to 509 of the family's 1533-position model. The record is from RNAcentral.
GCAGCGACGCCGCGUGAAGGAAGAAGUAUCUCGGUAUGUAAACUUCUAUCAGCAGGGAAGAAAAUGACGGUACCUGACUAAGAAGCCCCGGCUAACUACGUGCC